This 136-nucleotide small RNA is filed under the name Chinchilla lanigera (long-tailed chinchilla). Its description in RNAcentral is "FTX transcript, XIST regulator conserved region 3 (ENSCLAG00000019188.1)". The record is from RNAcentral. Lineage: Eukaryota; Metazoa; Chordata; Mammalia; Rodentia; Chinchillidae.
GUUCCCAACAACGGACAUCUGUGAUGACAAUGAAAUGAUCGUGGUACUCUGGAAAUAUGCUAAGCAGAAAGUCUCAGUAUAAAUAAUAGAUCUUAACGUCAUUCUUCGCCAACGAUAAUGUUUCUCACUGUCUAGA